ACUAUUUCCUCUUUGGUUGGUACAUUUGACCCUGAAGACAAAUCUAUGAUGCAGAUGUAAUCAUAUUCUCUGCACCGUAGGUUUGUUGUCAGGGUUAAAUGGGCUACUUUACAUGGAAGCA
Molecule: microRNA precursor, 121 nt
Filed under: Equus caballus (horse)
Lineage: Eukaryota; Metazoa; Chordata; Mammalia; Perissodactyla; Equidae
Description: microRNA mir-9143 (MIR9143)
Source: RNAcentral